CUACGGGGGGCUCCAGCAGGGAAUCUUCGGCAAUGGACGGAAGUCUGACCGAGCAACGCCGCGUGAGUGAAGAAGGUUUUCGGAUCGUAAAGCUCUGUUGUAAGAGAAGAACGAGUGUGAGAGUGGAAAGUUCACACUGUGACGGUAUCUUACCAGAAAGGGACGGCUAACUACGUGCCAGCAGCCGCGGUAAUACGUAGGUCCCGAGCGUUGUCCGGAUUUAUUGGGCGUAAAGCGAGCGCAGGCGGUUAGAUAAGUCUGAAGUUAAAGGCUGUGGCUUAACCAUAGUACGCUUUGGAAACUGUUUAACUUGAGUGCAGAAGGGGAGAGUGGAAGUCCAUGUGUAGCGGUGAAAUGCGUAGAUAUAUGGAGGAACACCGGUGGCGAAGGCGGCUCUCUGGUCUGUAACUGACGCUGAGGCUCGAAAGCGUGGGGAGCAAACAGGAUUAGAUACCCGGGUAGUC
RNAcentral lists this ribosomal RNA (464 nucleotides) under uncultured bacterium. Its description in RNAcentral is "partial 16S ribosomal RNA". It matches the Rfam family "Bacterial small subunit ribosomal RNA", at positions 339 to 795 of the family's 1533-position model. The record is from RNAcentral.